This 527-nucleotide ribosomal RNA is filed under the name uncultured bacterium. RNAcentral describes it as "bacterial SSU rRNA". It matches the Rfam family "Bacterial small subunit ribosomal RNA", at positions 224 to 748 of the family's 1533-position model. The record is from RNAcentral.
GAUGAGCAUGCGUCCCAUUAGCUAGUUGGUAAGGUAACGGCUUACCAAGGCUACGAUGGGUAGGGGUCCUGAGAGGGAGAUCCCCCACACUGGUACUGAGACACGGACCAGACUCCUACGGGAGGCAGCAGUGAGGAAUAUUGGACAAUGGGCGCAAGCCUGAUCCAGCCAUGCCGCGUGCAGGAUGACGGUCCUAUGGAUUGUAAACUGCUUUUAUACGAGAAGAAACACUCCUUCGUGAAGGAGCUUGACGGUAUCGUAAGAAUAAGGAUCGGCUAACUCCGUGCCAGCAGCCGCGGUAAUACGGAGGAUCCAAGCGUUAUCCGGAAUCAUUGGGUUUAAAGGGUCCGUAGGCGGUUUAAUAAGUCAGUGGUGAAAGCCCAUCGCUCAACGGUGGAACGGCCAUUGAUACUGUUAGACUUGAAUUAUUAGGAAGUAACUAGAAUAUGUAGUGUAGCGGUGAAAUGCUUAGAGAUUACAUGGAAUACCAAUUGCGAAGGCAGGUUACUACUAAUUGAUUGACGCUG